Molecule: non-coding RNA, 220 nt
Filed under: Acidobacteriota bacterium
Lineage: Bacteria; Pseudomonadati; Acidobacteriota
Source: RNAcentral
UAUCGGUGCUUGCUGCAAGGUGUCCCCGCGGAGCAGUCCGCUCCCGGGGAUGAAACGGGAAGCAGGUGCGCCGCCUCGCAAAGGCGGCAAUGCCUGCACUGCCCCCGCAACGGUAAGCGAGUGAGGGGUUCCACUACGUCACUGCGCCAGGAAAGGCGCGCGGGAAGACGGAGCCUCAAUCCUCGCGAGUCCGGAGACCGGCCUUGGAGCAUUGGUUCGG